AACCGUUAAUUGGCAAACGAAUCGGAGCCACGAAGUCGUUUCGCUGGUCAAUCCAAGUUCAGUUUGGGAUAGCAAUAUCUCGGGCGUAUUCUUGUUGGUUGGCCAUUGUAAGCGUACACUGCAACCAGUUAGACAAUUGGCGAUGGGCCAAGUUGGGUAGAAGCCUCGGUGACUACUUAACGAAGUGCUUGUUUGCUCUAACUAGUAGUGAUAUUGUGUUUCUUCGGGAACAUGGUGUUGCUGGGUUAGAGUAAGUGAACUAUCACCAAAUACUGACUGGCACAAUGAAACUUGCUCUUAUGAGCGUGAUACACAAUGCGGCUACUCGUGUCUAAUGUCUACACAGUCAACCGUAGGGUUUAAGUUCGGCAUUUUUGAAUUUGGGCUUGCUUUCUACCAGUGGGGCAACUCCUGGUGUUGGUAUUGUCACCAUCUAAUCGGGUGUCGACUUGAUUUUGCGUUGUUUGGAUGUGCUACGAGUGGAUG
Molecule: ribosomal RNA, 486 nt
Filed under: Phyllocoptes fructiphilus
Lineage: Eukaryota; Metazoa; Arthropoda; Arachnida; Trombidiformes; Eriophyidae
Description: partial large subunit ribosomal RNA
Source: RNAcentral